Molecule: transfer RNA, 61 nt
Filed under: Sinohyriopsis cumingii
Lineage: Eukaryota; Metazoa; Mollusca; Bivalvia; Unionida; Unionidae
Description: Hyriopsis cumingii tRNA-Gly
Source: RNAcentral
AUGUUGAUAGUAUAAUAGUACAAUUGCCUUCCAAGCAGAAAGUCCAAUUUUGGCCAACAUA